GCGCACCAGGCGAGAAACCUUCGCAAUGCAGGAAACUGCGACGAGGGAACUCCAAGUGCCUACGCUCAGCGUAGGCUGUUCUCAAGCCUAGAAAGCUUGAGGAGUAAGGGCUGGGUAAGACGGGUGCCAUCUGUGGUAGCAGUCAAUAGAUUCGAUUUGUUACUGCAAGGCAUAAGCCGCCGCGGUAAUACCCGCAGCCCAAGUGGUGGCCGCUUUUAUUGGGCCUAAAGCGUCCGUAGCCGGCCCGGUAAAUGCCUGGGGUAAAUCGUGGAGCCCAACUUCACGAAUUCCGGGUAGACUGCCGAGCUCGGGACCGGAAGAGGGAGAGGGUACUUCGAGGGGUAGGGGUAGAAAAUUUCCUUUCAUUAACGCUUUGCGCGAAGCGGAAAGGUUAUC
This 396-nucleotide ribosomal RNA is filed under the name uncultured microorganism. Its description in RNAcentral is "bacterial SSU rRNA". It matches the Rfam family "Archaeal small subunit ribosomal RNA", at positions 330 to 677 of the family's 1478-position model. The record is from RNAcentral.